ACGAACGCUGGCGGCAUGCCUAACACAUGCCAGUCGAACGAGACCUUCGGGUCUAGUGGCGCACGGGUGCGUAACGCGUGGGAACCUGCCUUUAGGUUCGGAAUAACUCAGAGAAAUUUGAGCUAAUACCGGAUGAUGUCUUCGGACCAAAGAUUUAUCGCCUUUAGAUGGGCCCGCGUUGGAUUAGCUAGUUGGUGGGGUAAAGGCCUACCAAGGCGACGAUCCAUAGCUGGUCUGAGAGGAUGAUCAGCCACACUGGGACUGAGACACGGCCCAGACUCCUACGGGAGGCAGCAGUGGGGAAUAUUGGACAAUGGGCGAAAGCCUGAUCCAGCAAUGCCGCGUGAGUGAUGAAGGCCUUAGGGUUGUAAAGCUCUUUUACCCGAGAUGAUAAUGACAGUAGCGGGAGAAUAAGCGCCGGCUAACUCCGUG
Molecule: ribosomal RNA, 432 nt
Filed under: uncultured bacterium
Lineage: Bacteria
Description: partial 16S ribosomal RNA
Rfam family: Bacterial small subunit ribosomal RNA
Source: RNAcentral